RNAcentral lists this ribosomal RNA (489 nucleotides) under uncultured bacterium. RNAcentral's name for it is "partial 16S ribosomal RNA". It matches the Rfam family "Bacterial small subunit ribosomal RNA", at positions 30 to 507 of the family's 1533-position model. The record is from RNAcentral.
UUGAACGCUGGCGGCAGGCCUAACACCUGCAAGUCGAACGGUAACAGGAAGCAGCUUGCUGCUUUGCUGACGAGUGGCGGACGGGUGAGUAAUGUCUGGGAAACUGCCUGAUGGAGGGGGAUAACUACUGGAAACGGUAGCUAAUACCGCAUAAUGUCGCAAGACCAAAGAGGGGGACCUUCGGGCCUCUUGCCAUCGGAUGUGCCCAGAUGGGAUUAGCUAGUAGGUGGGGUAAAGGCUCACCUAGGCGACGAUCCCUAGCUGGUCUGAGAGGAUGACCAGCCACACUGGAACUGAGACACGGUCCAGACUCCUACGGGAGGCAGCAGUGGGGAAUAUUGCACAAUGGGCGCAAGCCUGAUGCAGCCAUGCCGCGUGUAUGAAGAAGGCCUUCGGGUUGUAAAGUACUUUCAGCGGGGAGGAAGGGAGUAAAGUUAAUACCUUUGCUCAUUGACGUUACCCGCAGAAGAAGCACCGGCUAACUCCGUG